Molecule: ribosomal RNA, 1551 nt
Filed under: Cytobacillus solani
Lineage: Bacteria; Bacillati; Bacillota; Bacilli; Caryophanales; Bacillaceae
Description: bacterial SSU rRNA
Rfam family: Bacterial small subunit ribosomal RNA
Source: RNAcentral
UUAUUGGAGAGUUUGAUCCUGGCUCAGGACGAACGCUGGCGGCGUGCCUAAUACAUGCAAGUCGAGCGAAUCUGAGGGAGCUUGCUCCCACAGAUUAGCGGCGGACGGGUGAGUAACACGUGGGCAACCUGCCUGUAAGACUGGGAUAACUUCGGGAAACCGGAGCUAAUACCGGAUAAUCCUUUUCUACUCAUGUAGAAAAGCUGAAAGAUGGCUUCGGCUAUCACUUACAGAUGGGCCCGCGGCGCAUUAGCUAGUUGGUGAGGUAACGGCUCACCAAGGCGACGAUGCGUAGCCGACCUGAGAGGGUGAUCGGCCACACUGGGACUGAGACACGGCCCAGACUCCUACGGGAGGCAGCAGUAGGGAAUCUUCCGCAAUGGACGAAAGUCUGACGGAGCAACGCCGCGUGAGUGAUGAAGGUUUUCGGAUCGUAAAACUCUGUUGUUAGGGAAGAACAAGUACCGUUCGAAUAGGGCGGUACCUUGACGGUACCUAACCAGAAAGCCACGGCUAACUACGUGCCAGCAGCCGCGGUAAUACGUAGGUGGCAAGCGUUGUCCGGAAUUAUUGGGCGUAAAGCGCGCGCAGGUGGUUUCUUAAGUCUGAUGUGAAAGCCCCCGGCUCAACCGGGGAGGGUCAUUGGAAACUGGGAGACUUGAGUGCAGAAGAGGAAAGUGGAAUUCCAAGUGUAGCGGUGAAAUGCGUAGAGAUUUGGAGGAACACCAGUGGCGAAGGCGACUUUCUGGUCUGUAACUGACACUGAGGCGCGAAAGCGUGGGGAGCGAACAGGAUUAGAUACCCUGGUAGUCCACGCCGUAAACGAUGAGUGCUAAGUGUUAGAGGGUUUCCGCCCUUUAGUGCUGCAGCAAACGCAUUAAGCACUCCGCCUGGGGAGUACGGCCGCAAGGCUGAAACUCAAAGGAAUUGACGGGGGCCCGCACAAGCGGUGGAGCAUGUGGUUUAAUUCGAAGCAACGCGAAGAACCUUACCAGGUCUUGACAUCCUCUGACAAUCCUAGAGAUAGGACGUUCCCCUUCGGGGGACAGAGUGACAGGUGGUGCAUGGUUGUCGUCAGCUCGUGUCGUGAGAUGUUGGGUUAAGUCCCGCAACGAGCGCAACCCUUGAUCUUAGUUGCCAGCAUUCAGUUGGGCACUCUAAGGUGACUGCCGGUGACAAACCGGAGGAAGGUGGGGAUGACGUCAAAUCAUCAUGCCCCUUAUGACCUGGGCUACACACGUGCUACAAUGGAUGGUACAAAGGGCUGCAAGACCGCGAGGUUUAGCCAAUCCCAUAAAACCAUUCUCAGUUCGGAUUGCAGGCUGCAACUCGCCUGCAUGAAGCCGGAAUCGCUAGUAAUCGCGGAUCAGCAUGCCGCGGUGAAUACGUUCCCGGGCCUUGUACACACCGCCCGUCACACCACGAGAGUUUGUAACACCCGAAGUCGGUGGGGUAACCGCAAGGAGCCAGCCGCCUAAGGUGGGACAGAUGAUUGGGGUGAAGUCGUAACAAGGUAGCCGUAUCGGAAGGUGCGGCUGGAUCACCUCCUUU